Pseudophryne corroboree (corroboree frog) is the source of this 635-nucleotide long non-coding RNA. RefSeq lists it as uncharacterized. The record is from RefSeq and is a predicted model, not a curated record. Lineage: Eukaryota; Metazoa; Chordata; Amphibia; Anura; Myobatrachidae. The transcript has 4 exons.
GGCAGACAGAAGAACCCUCAGGUGCAUAAUCAGCUUGGAGGGAGUUUCAGCAAUUAGUGUCCCAGUCCCAUGCUCAAACUGAAUGUGUUGCAGUGUGUAUGCUGAGCAGACUUCCCAGGCAGGAGACUCAGCAAAGCAGGAAAUCCUGACCUGCAGGAUAUUGACAGAUGUGACAUGCUUGCUGAGGAGCCGAAAUCAGUAAAAAGGUGACAGGUCUGACACAUGGACGGAUGGGGGAGACUGAGGAGGAUCCCGAAUAUGAUGAGUGAUGAAGCUGACAGCAUCCUGGCAGUGUACCAACAAGAAGCAAUCAGUGUCAACUCUAGAGAUUUUCUGUCUGAAUCCACCUGCGUUCUGUCUGCAAUGCUGUUUUUGGAAACUCAAACCCCCCCACCCCCCUGUUGAACCCUAUUGCCUUGUCCUCAAUGAGAGCAUCAUAACAGGCAGCAACGCCAAAGCGCAGUCAAGCGAGACCGCCAUCGUCGCAAGUGCUGGCCAGUGAAGACCCUGACAACACCACAUAAGCAUAUUAUUGGUCAUGCACAUUAGACACCACAUUGGACAUGCGGACCCUGGGUCCAGAGUCCCAGCCAGAGAAGCCGGUGUUACACAGUAAGUUUACCUGUAUACAAUGU